GGGAUUGUAGCUUAGUGGUAGAGUGUAUGCCUAGUAUGCAUGAAGCCCUAGAUUCAAUUCCUCAGUACCA
Molecule: non-coding RNA, 70 nt
Organism: Dipodomys ordii (Ord's kangaroo rat)
Lineage: Eukaryota; Metazoa; Chordata; Mammalia; Rodentia; Heteromyidae
Source: Rfam